Molecule: unclassified non-coding RNA, 228 nt
Filed under: Glomeraceae sp.
Lineage: Eukaryota; Fungi; Glomeromycota; Glomeromycetes; Glomerales; Glomeraceae
Description: partial contains 5.8S ribosomal RNA and internal transcribed spacer 2
Rfam family: 5.8S ribosomal RNA (bases 1-71)
Source: RNAcentral
GUGAAUCAUCGAAUUUUUGAACGCAAAUUGCACUCCCUGGUAUUCCGGGGAGUAUGCCUGUUUGAGGGUCAGUUUAAAUAAAAAUCGGUGUGGUUGCUGCCUUUCGUGGUGUCGCCUCGGAUUUGGGUGGUCUUUGCUUCGGUUAAGUUACCUCACAUUUUGCAUGAUUUUUUCCUACGUAUUUUAAUUAUUUUACGUACGUUUGCGAUGUUGUGUACUAGGUGGGGU